CUACGGGCGGCAGCAGUGAGGAAUAUUGCGCAAUGGGGGGAACCCUGAUGCAGCAACGCCGCGUGGAGGAUGACGCAUUUCGGUGUGUAAACUCCUUUUAUAUGUCAGGAAAAUGACGGUAGCAUAUGAAUAAGCACCGGCUAACUCCGUGCCAGCAGCCGCGGUAAUACGGAGGGUGCAAGCGUUACCCGGAAUCACUGGGCGUAAAGGACGCGUAGGCGGGUUGGAAAGUCAGGUGUGAAAUCCUACAGCUUAACUGUAGAACUGCACUUGAAACUUCUAAUCUAGAGUAUGGGAGGGGGAGAUGGAAUUAGUGGUGUAGGGGUAAAAUCCGUAGAUAUCACUAGGAAUACCUAAAGCGAAGGCGAUCUCCUGGAACAUUACUGACGCUAAGGCGUGAAAGCGUGGGGAGCAAACAGGAUUAGAUACCCCGGUAGUC
RNAcentral lists this ribosomal RNA (439 nucleotides) under uncultured bacterium. RNAcentral's name for it is "partial 16S ribosomal RNA". It matches the Rfam family "Bacterial small subunit ribosomal RNA", at positions 339 to 795 of the family's 1533-position model. The record is from RNAcentral.